UUGUCUAUGACGUGGAAUUUGUGAUUUA
This 28-nucleotide small RNA is filed under the name Bombyx mori (domestic silkworm). RNAcentral's name for it is "ovarian small RNA-38137". The record is from RNAcentral. Lineage: Eukaryota; Metazoa; Arthropoda; Insecta; Lepidoptera; Bombycidae.